UCAAUACGCAAAGAAGGACGUAGACUUUUACCUCCAUCGGAGGGGCCGAACCUAGGUAAAUCGCGUCUCUCAAUUCUGACCGACAUGUCUCAAGCUGCCACCUAGUUAUGAUGGCCUCACACCUAAGUUUUCUCACGAGGACAUCUUGGCAUGACAAAACUACGAUAGUUGAUAGCCUCACACCUAAGUUCUGUCACGAGGACAUCUUGCCGUGACAAAACCACGAUAGUUGACGUCCACCAUGGGGAUACGGACGGUGGAGUUGUGUUUUUGAAAAG
RNAcentral lists this long non-coding RNA (278 nucleotides) under Hordeum vulgare. RNAcentral's name for it is "long non-coding RNA (HVUL_LNC012471)". Lineage: Eukaryota; Viridiplantae; Streptophyta; Magnoliopsida; Poales; Poaceae. The record is from RNAcentral.